RNAcentral lists this long non-coding RNA (1901 nucleotides) under Mustela putorius furo (domestic ferret). RNAcentral describes it as "lncRNA (ENSMPUG00000031384.1)". Lineage: Eukaryota; Metazoa; Chordata; Mammalia; Carnivora; Mustelidae. The record is from RNAcentral.
NNNNNNNNNNNNNNNNNNNNNNNNNNNNNNNNNNNNNNNNNNNNNNNNNNNNNNNNNNNNNNGGGGCACGUGACUCCCCGCGGAGGGAUCCGCGGUGCCGCUGAAGCCUUUGAAAAAGAGUCCCGCCUGGGCCCGGGUCCGCGGCCGGGUUUGCGCCCUCCUUUCCCCCCCGGGCCUGGCCGAGCCGCCUCUCCCUCUCGAUCCCGGGCGGAGGGUGGAGAGCUGGAAGUCGGCUUUCUGAGACUGAUCCGGGGACGGGGAAGGAAAGGGACCGGUAGGCUGGCGAGGCGGAAGGAGACAGUUUCUGGUCGCAGUGCACCUUUUAAAGGUCCCCAUUUGUUUUGCUUUUGCUGUUUUGAAAAGUCCGCCCAAAGCAGCCCGCUCUCCGAUUGGAUACUGGUCGAGCGACUAGAACGCGGAGCAGCUGAUGCAAUCUCGAAUGCGGAUUGGCUGGCCGAUUCGUCUUCGAGCCCUCUGAUUGGCUUUUGUCUUAUCCGGGGCUUCUAUCUUCCAAGGGGCCUUAGCAACGCUGGGGCCCGGAUGGCGCAUGCGUGCAGCUCCGCAGGCAGAGGGACCUGACCCUGGGGUCCAGGCCUUGGGCGGCCGCCGCCGCGGGUCCCUGCGGUGUCCCCCUCCUGCCCCCAGAGAGCUGUGGGAGCGGCACAGCCUUUAUUCCGUGCUGCCGGAAGCCUGUUCAAAGAUGAGCAGUUCUCUAAGAAUAAAACAAGAAAGCUUGCUAAGUGGUGUUCAGUUUCCUGGUCUUGGCAGACUCUGUUCAGUACAGGAGAAAAGAAGGAUCCAAUGGUCCCAAACAGAGCCCCUUGUCCACUCAGUCCACUUACCUCUCUAAGAUAAAGGAGAUGGCGAUCAUUAAAAAAUAUUGGUCAACUGUAACUACUUGAACAUCAUCCUUUGUUUCAAAACACCUCCUUUCAACAAUGAUGAUAUUCUGGGACAGAAAAUGAUGCGAGUUUUCUCCUUUUGUUCUGUUGAUUUUUUUGGUUGGUUGAUAUUACAGCCUUUAUUUUUUCAUUUUUCACUUUUUUUUAAAUGACAGACUUUCUCCAGGCUCUAUUUUUGUGUCAUCACUUUGGUUUACUUUGCUACAGCUGUGAGUCUUAUUUAUUUAAAGGACAUUCUCCCCUAGGCACCUGUCAGCUGCCUUUCAGGCCUUCCUAAGCUUUCGUGGGGGUCACUUUCCUGCAUCAAACACCCAUACAAAAUAGGGAAUCAGGCAUCUGGCAGUCCCCAGGAAAGACUUUCAUUAUAAAAUACUUGGUCUCCUACAGCACAGUGGGAUUGGGUGACACCCUGUCCCCAGUAACCUCGUGAAGGACAGACAGGGAACUUGUUGUCCUCAGUGACAUCUGAGACAGUGAACCUAGAAGGUGGGCACAGAGCAGGAAAUAAGCAGUAGCACAGCCACAGAAACAGUGCCAUCAUUCAGUGAAUUCUUGACUUCUGAGGAGUGUCCUUCAAACCACUCAACAUUUGAGCGUCUACCUUGGAAGGAAAAUAGAGUGUGGGCAAGCAGCUCUGAACCUCCUUCCCUUCCGUACUUGGACUUCCCGAACUGAGUAAGGCGCCAAAAUUCCCUUACAAUGGUGAGAUAGAAUCUUUCUCCUCACAAGGGAAAGUAUUAAACAAUAAAUCUUAACUUUUCAUCUAACAUUUAAUGAAUAUAUAUCUGAUGCCUGGCAUGGUUCUAGGCCUCAGUGAUACAAAAAUACGUAAAAAAAAAAAAAAAGUCCCAGAAUAUGCCCUGGUACAUCGGAAGUGUAGGCAAAAGCUCUAAGCAAGAAAUCAGAACACCUGACUUUGAGACCCAGCUUUCUCACUUAAUAGAAACAGCACCUUAAAUACCUUGAAUGACGUGAGUUGUCCUGAACCUCAACUUUCCA